Molecule: unclassified non-coding RNA, 276 nt
Organism: Pongo abelii (Sumatran orangutan)
Lineage: Eukaryota; Metazoa; Chordata; Mammalia; Primates; Hominidae
Rfam family: Metazoan signal recognition particle RNA
About the family: The signal recognition particle (SRP) is a universally conserved ribonucleoprotein. It is involved in the co-translational targeting of proteins to membranes.
Source: Ensembl
CCCCCUGUAGUCUCAGCUAGUGGGGAAGUGGGAGGAUCACUUGAGCCCAGGAGUUCUGGGCUGUAGUGUGCAGUGCUGAUCAGGUGUCUGCACUAAGUUUGGUAUCAAUAUGGUGACCUCCCUGGAGCAGAGGACCACCAGAGUGCCUAAAGAGAGGUGAACUAGCCCAGUCUAGAAACUGAGCAGGUCAAAACUUUCAUCUGAUCAGUAGUGGGAUCACACGUGUGAAUAGCCACUGAACUCCAGCUUGGGCAAAAUAGCAAGACCCUGUCUCUA